Molecule: unclassified non-coding RNA, 339 nt
Filed under: Hevea brasiliensis (rubber tree)
Lineage: Eukaryota; Viridiplantae; Streptophyta; Magnoliopsida; Malpighiales; Euphorbiaceae
Source: RNAcentral
GGCUCUCAAGCUUUGGUGGAAGGGCGUUCCUUUCUUGCAACAUCCAAGGUACUAUAAUCCUAGAUACAGAGAAGAAGCCAUUCUAUCUGAUGAGAAGCUUCAAUGUUGUCCGGCUUUUGCAUUUGAGACACAGAACAAUCAACAGGCUGGAGAGCACUGUUUCAGUCCUGCAGAUCACUCAACUUCAAGACAUCAUGGCUUCACUUGGAGGGAUGCAAAAUGGCCCUGGUGCUAAAUGCAGUAUUGGAAUAAUAUCAAUACCCUAUGCACUUUCCCAAGGAGGAUGGUUAUGUUUGAUGCUACUUCUUUUAGUAGCAAUUAUAUGUUGUUACACAGGAA